GAUGAAGAACGCAGUGAAAUGCGAUAAGUAAUGUGAAUUGCAGAAUUCAGUGAAUCAUCGAAUCUUUGAACGCACAUUGCGCCCCCUGGCAUUCCGGGGGGCAUGCCUGUUCGAGCGUCAUUUCAACCCUCAAGCACAGCUUGGUGUUGGGACUCGCGUUAAUUCGCGUUCCUCAAAUUGAUUGGCGGUCACGUCGAGCUUCCAUAGCGUAGUAGUAAAACCCUCGUUACUGGUAAUCGUCGCGGCCACGCCGUUAAACCCCAACUUCUGAAUGUUGACCUCGGAUCAGGUAGGAAUACCCGCUGAACUUAAGCAUAUCAAUAAGCGGAGGA
Molecule: unclassified non-coding RNA, 332 nt
Filed under: soil metagenome
Description: partial contains 5.8S ribosomal RNA, internal transcribed spacer 2, and large subunit ribosomal RNA
Rfam family: 5.8S ribosomal RNA (bases 1-120)
Source: RNAcentral